GAGUUUCAUCCUGGCUCAGGAUGAACGCUAGCUACAGGCUUAACACAUGCAAGUCGAGGGGCAGCCUGGGAGUAGCUUGCUACUCUUGAUGGCGACCGGAGCACGGGUGCGUAACACGUAUCCAAUCUACCCAUGGCUCGGGAAUAGCCUUUCGAAAGAAAGAUUAAUGCCCGAUGGUCUGUCAGUGAGACAUCUCGCAGGCAGUAAAGAUUAAUCGGCGAUGGAUGAGGAUGCUUCUGAUUAGGUAGAUGGCGGGGUAACGGCCCACCAUGCCGACGAUCAGUAGGGGUUCUGAGAGGAAGGUCCCCCACAUUGGAACUGAGCCAUGAUCAAACUC
Molecule: ribosomal RNA, 337 nt
Filed under: uncultured Paraprevotella sp.
Lineage: Bacteria; Pseudomonadati; Bacteroidota; Bacteroidia; Bacteroidales; Prevotellaceae
Description: bacterial SSU rRNA
Rfam family: Bacterial small subunit ribosomal RNA
Source: RNAcentral